AUUGAACGCUGGCGGCAUGCUUUACACAUGCAAGUCGAACGGCAGCACGGGAGCUUGCUCCUGGUGGCGAGUGGCGAACGGGUGAGUAAUGCAUCGGAACGUAUCCAAUAAUGGGGGAUAACGCAUCGAAAGGUGUGCUAAUACCGCAUACGCCCUGAGGGGGAAAGUGGGGGACCGUAAGGCCUCACGUUAAUGGAGCGGCCGAUGUCGGAUUAGCUAGUUGGUGAGGUAAAGGCUCACCAAGGCGACGAUCCGUAGCUGGUCUGAGAGGAUGAUCAGCCACACUGGAACUGAGACACGGUCCAGACUCCUACGGGAGGCAG
This 323-nucleotide ribosomal RNA is filed under the name uncultured Pseudomonadota bacterium. RNAcentral describes it as "bacterial SSU rRNA". It matches the Rfam family "Bacterial small subunit ribosomal RNA", at positions 30 to 351 of the family's 1533-position model. The record is from RNAcentral. Lineage: Bacteria; Pseudomonadati; Pseudomonadota.